CUGCUGAGGCUAAGCCCUUGUUCUAUAGAUUUGU
Molecule: ribosomal RNA, 34 nt
Filed under: Mrakia frigida
Lineage: Eukaryota; Fungi; Basidiomycota; Tremellomycetes; Cystofilobasidiales; Mrakiaceae
Also listed under: 3 other names
Description: partial 28S ribosomal RNA
Source: RNAcentral